RNAcentral lists this long non-coding RNA (563 nucleotides) under Felis catus (domestic cat). RNAcentral's name for it is "lncRNA (ENSFCAG00000045265.2)". The record is from RNAcentral. Lineage: Eukaryota; Metazoa; Chordata; Mammalia; Carnivora; Felidae.
GUGAUAAUUUGGAAGACAAAUGCUUAGGUUUCUCCUUGCAUUGUAGGAAAGGGGGAAUCUGAACAUCCUGCUGCCACAAAAGUUGCAUUCAAGGAUACUGAAUAUUAAUGGAGAGGAGAGACUUGGCUCCGCCCAUCACAGGUUCUACGAGCUGCCACACCCCUGAAGCCAGUCAGUAGACACAAAGGAAGCUUCCAAGAAGGGCAGCGGGGAUGUCAGCACGAGCUGAGGUCACUGCCAGGGACUGCUUGACUCUUCUGACUGGAAAUGGUUCAGCGUUUGCAAUUCAGUGUCACUUGCUUCCGGAAGUGCAGAGCACAUCACGAUCUCUUCCCUAAAGGCAUUCUCCCCAAUUGCCUCCGUCCCGCAUGGAUGAGACCUCAUAGUUUCUCUCUUGUGACACAGCUAUUUGUGUACUUACUUUAUAGAUGCAUUCUAGAUCCACUGCAUUUCUUAUCUUUCUCAUGAUCAGUUUUCUAAUGCACAAAUUGGGACCACGGUACAUACUUCACAGCCCUGAAGGGGAUAGGCUGUGUACCAUACCCCCCACACCUCUCCCUGCC